The sequence is a small nucleolar RNA, 205 nucleotides long. Its record names the gene U3. It matches the Rfam family "Small nucleolar RNA U3". Rfam says of the family: Small nucleolar RNAs (snoRNAs) are involved in the processing and modification of rRNA in the nucleolus. The record is from Ensembl.
AAGACUAUACUCUCAAGGAUUAUUUCUUUAGCUUUUGGCUUGGAAACGUGAAAAGAAAGUUAUUUUCCCCUUCUUAAGAUGAUUAUUUGUGAUGCUUUUCUUUAAACAGACAUUGGAGGUCUAUUGAACCUUUUUCAGUAUGUUGCUGAUGAUUGUUCUUGUUAUUCUCUUUUAGAGACGCAAGAGAGAAAAAAGCAGGACUGGA